AGAAUAAUAUAAGGAAAGCUGCUAACUUAUCCUUUAGUGAUAAUCCACUUUAUUCUU
RNAcentral lists this transfer RNA (57 nucleotides) under Penthicodes atomaria. Its description in RNAcentral is "tRNA-Ser". Lineage: Eukaryota; Metazoa; Arthropoda; Insecta; Hemiptera; Fulgoridae. The record is from RNAcentral.